AGCCCACCAGUGGGAAGCUUUUACACUUCAAUCAUAUUCAGUUUUCUUCAUGAAACCAUACUUGGAGCUCUUGGCUGUUGUGGUCAUAUUUAGUACUUUAAAGAGUAUAUAAAACAGAGCAUGUGUGUACAAAGUGGAGGCAGGGAACAGACAGGACCAUUCAGAUCAGGAUCAGUACUUUAAAUUCAUUAAAGUUACAUAGGCUAAGUUGAGUACAGCGCUCUUGUUCUCCUUCCAGUAUUAUUCGAAUGGUGGUGAUUGGCUAUACAUUUUAGCCUGGUAUUGCUUAUAGAAAUACAUUUUAUAUAGUUCUUUUUUUUUUUUUUUCAGUGUUAUGGGCUUGUACAUGUGCAGUUCCACUAUUUACAGGCCAGCGUUUUAAAUCCUUGCUAUUUCAGGUGAAGGCAGGGAGACCCGGAAAGAGCAGGGGUGGCAGGGAGGGAGGAAGGAAAGGAAAGUACAACACUGCUUCACCAUCUGGGAGGGUGGGGCUGGGGCUCCCCUGGUGUUGUGGUGCUGGGGCUCAAACUCCAGAUCAUUUUAAAAGCCAAUGAUAUGGUCCCAGAGGUGGCAUAAUCGAUUUUUUUUUUAAAGAAAGUAUUUAUGUAUUCCCUUUGUUGUAGUUAUUGUUGUUGUCAUUGUUGGAUAGGACAGAGAGAAAUGGAGAGAGGAGGGGAAGACAGAGGUGGGGAGAGAAAGAGAGACACCUGCAGACCUGCCUCACCUCCUGUAAAGCGACUCCCCUGCAGGUGGGGAGCCGGGGCUCAAACCGGGAUCUUUAUGCCGGUCCUUGAGCUUUGCGCCACAUGCACUUAACCCGCUGUGCUACCGCCCGACUCCCCUGGCAUAAUAGAUUAAAGCAUUGCAUUCUCAAGCAUGAGCUCCCUGGUUUGAUCCCCAGCAUCACCUAUGCCAGAAUGGUGUUCUGGCUCUUUCUCUUCCCCUCCUGUUCUCAUCAACAUAGAAACAGAUCUAAAAAAUAAAAAAGAAAUAAAACUAACAAAAUAUACAUAUAUAGGGACAUAAAUACUAUUGAAACAAACAUUUUAGUAAGCAACAUUGUUCUUGCUAUGACCUGUUAUAUUCUAAUUCUCUUUUUUCAAUGCUAGUCACAGGACCACUCAACUGAUUAUUUUUAGAGAUUAAUUUUCAUUCACUGAUAUGAAACAAAGUUUCACAUGAGCAAGGUAGAGCACCACACUUGUUACACUGGGCAUUGAACCAGUAAAUAAGCAGAAAUUCCGAAUGUGAACUAUAGGUAGAAAACUAAAGGUUACUUGAGAAGUUAUUUUUCAAUAAAAAGUUUUAAAACACUGGCUUAACAUAGUUAUAAAAAGAACCUCUGGAUUUGGUGAUUCGUUUCUCGUCAAGCAACAUUGUUAAUCAUGUUAAUUUAUACACUAACAAAAAUAUUGUAUAUGGGAAGCAUUUUAUGGUUGUAUCUUGGGGCAGGGGAGAAGUAAGUAUACCUACUAAAACAUUCUAAUUGACCAAAUCACCAAAGCCCAACUGUCCUAUUUUAAAUUUCCAUGUGAAAUUCUGUUUGUGAAAAUGAGACUGUAUAAUAGAUACUUCAUAUCUAGACAGUUGUUUUUGCAGAACUCAGGACUCUCAUCUAUGAGAAGAGUGUGAUCUAAGCAGGUGCACCUCUUAUCCUGAAUAGGCCAAGAAAAGCAGUAAAGAUGUUUCUAAUGGA
Long non-coding RNA from Erinaceus europaeus (western European hedgehog), 1696 nucleotides. RefSeq lists it as uncharacterized. The record is from RefSeq and is a predicted model, not a curated record. NCBI's taxonomy places the organism in Eukaryota, Metazoa, Chordata, Mammalia, Eulipotyphla, Erinaceidae. The transcript is spliced from 2 exons.